This 427-nucleotide ribosomal RNA is filed under the name Diamesus bimaculatus. RNAcentral describes it as "partial large subunit ribosomal RNA". It matches the Rfam family "Archaeal large subunit ribosomal RNA", at positions 2011 to 2636 of the family's 2987-position model. Lineage: Eukaryota; Metazoa; Arthropoda; Insecta; Coleoptera; Silphidae. The record is from RNAcentral.
CGGUACUUUGACCGUGCGAAGGUAGCAUAAUAAUUAGUUUUUUAAUUGAAAGCUGGAAUGAAUGGUCGAACGAGAAAAAUACUGUCUCAAGUUAAUUUUAAUUAGAAUUUUAUCUUUAAGUAAAAAAGCUUAAAUAAUUUUAAAAGACGAGAAGACCCUAUAGAGUUUUAUAAAUUUUAUUAUUUGAGGUAUUUAGAAUUUUAUAGCUUAAAAUAGUAAUAUUUAUUUUGUUGGGGUGACAGAAAAAUUUAUUAAACUUUUUUUUAUAUAAAAACAUUAAUUUAUGAAUUAUUGAUCCAUUAAUUAUGAUUAUAAGAUUAAAUUACCUUAGGGAUAACAGCGUAAUUUUUUUUGAGAGUUCAAAUCGAAAAAGAAGUUUGCGACCUCGAUGUUGGAUUAAAAUUAAGUUUUGGUGUAGCAGCUAAAA